RNAcentral lists this ribosomal RNA (194 nucleotides) under uncultured bacterium. RNAcentral's name for it is "partial 16S ribosomal RNA". It matches the Rfam family "Bacterial small subunit ribosomal RNA", at positions 338 to 524 of the family's 1533-position model. The record is from RNAcentral.
CCUACGGGAGGCAGCAGUGGGGAAUUUUGGACAAUGGGCGAAAGCCUGAUCCAGCAAUGCCGCGUGCAGGAUGAAGGUCUUCGGGUUGUAAACUGCUUUUGUACGGAACGAAACGGUUCGCCUUAAUACGGUGGGCUAAUGACGGUACCGUAAGAAUAAGCACCGGCUAACUACGUGCCAGCAGCCGCGGUAAU